Molecule: transfer RNA, 111 nt
Filed under: Hippoglossus stenolepis (Pacific halibut)
Lineage: Eukaryota; Metazoa; Chordata; Actinopteri; Pleuronectiformes; Pleuronectidae
Description: tRNA-Leu
Rfam family: tRNA
About the family: Transfer RNA (tRNA) molecules are approximately 80 nucleotides in length. Their secondary structure includes four short double-helical elements and three loops (D, anti-codon, and T loops).
Source: RNAcentral
GUCAGGAUGGCCGAGUGGUCUAAGGCGCCAGACUCAAGGAUUGUCUCCUUCCGCAGAAACGGGAAUUCUGGUCUCCGAAUGGAGGCGUGGGUUCGAAUCCCACUUCUGACA